RNAcentral lists this ribosomal RNA (608 nucleotides) under uncultured bacterium. RNAcentral describes it as "bacterial SSU rRNA". It matches the Rfam family "Bacterial small subunit ribosomal RNA", at positions 202 to 797 of the family's 1533-position model. The record is from RNAcentral.
GAAAGGCGCUUUCGGGUGUCGCUGAUGGAUGGACCCGCGGUGCAUUAGCUAGUUGGUGAGGUAACGGCUCACCAAGGCGACGAUGCAUAGCCGACCUGAGAGGGUGAUCGGCCACAUUGGGACUGAGACACGGCCCAAACUCCUACGGGAGGCAGCAGUAGGGAAUCUUCGGCAAUGGACGAAAGUCUGACCGAGCAACGCCGCGUGAGUGAAGAAGGUUUUCGGAUCGUAAAACUCUGUUGUUAGAGAAGAACAAGGAUGAGAGUAACUGUUCAUCCCUUGACGGUAUCUAACCAGAAAGCCACGGCUAACUACGUGCCAGCAGCCGCGGUAAUACGUAGGUGGCAAGCGUUGUCCGGAUUUAUUGGGCGUAAAGCGAGCGCAGGCGGUUUCUUAAGUCUGAUGUGAAAGCCCCCGGCUCAACCGGGGAGGGUCAUUGGAAACUGGGAGACUUGAGUGCAGAAGAGGAGAGUGGAAUUCCAUGUGUAGCGGUGAAAUGCGUAGAUAUAUGGAGGAACACCAGUGGCGAAGGCGGCUCUCUGGUCUGUAACUGACGCUGAGGCUCGAAAGCGUGGGGAGGAAACAGGAUUAGAUACCCUGGUAGUCCA